GUGUUUUCAUGCGAAUGCACCCAUAAACCCAAGACAGGUGGUGGAGAUAAAGGAUGGCGCAUGAGUGACACGAGCAGAUUGGAAUGAUUGGAUCCGAGCAGCAUCAAACUUUGCUUAACUUUCGGCGGGAAAACAAACAGCUUCUCUCCACUCAUUUCUGGGUCAGUCGGAGAACGUGUGCGUUCUGAGGAGAAAAGUGCUCAGUGUUGCAGAGAAGCAGACGAGAUGCGACGAUCCAGCUCCCACCAGCAGACGUUAGCUUAGCUUAGCACAAAGCCUGAAAUCUGCCUAACGGCAGGUCACUGCCUCUCUACACAACGUUAUAUCUCAUUAAUCCCUGAAGCUCAAAAUGUAAAAAUGAUGUUAUUGUUUCAUGCUCGGCAGGCCAGAGUUAAGUCCUUCACACACAACUGGAAUGGAAGUUUCUCCUUGUUUGUAGGACGACAUAAGCUAAAUAUAACUGAAGUAACUGAAGCUAA
Long non-coding RNA from Betta splendens (Siamese fighting fish), 479 nucleotides. RefSeq lists it as uncharacterized. The record is from RefSeq and is a predicted model, not a curated record. Lineage: Eukaryota; Metazoa; Chordata; Actinopteri; Anabantiformes; Osphronemidae. The transcript is spliced from 2 exons.